Molecule: unclassified non-coding RNA, 171 nt
Filed under: soil metagenome
Description: partial internal transcribed spacer 1
Source: RNAcentral
CCGAAGUACAGGCCCUUUUAUAGGGCUAAACUUCCACCCUUUGUUUACUAUUCUUUGUUGCUUUGGCGGGACGUCUUCGGACCACCGGCUCUCGGGCUGGUGAGCGCUCGCCAGAGGAAAAUCAAACCCAAACCUUUUUUAGUGUUGUCUGAGAAACAAGUUUAAUUAUUA